CCUGAACGCUGGUGGCGUGGCUAAGACAUGCAAGUCGCACGGUGUAGCAAUACACAGUGGCGAACGGGUGAGUAAUGAAUCGCUAAUGUACCCCGGACUCUGGGAUAGCUAGCCGAAAGGUUAGGUAAUACCAGAUGAUAUAUCUUUAUCGCAUGAUAGAGAUCUCAAAGGUCCGCCGGUCUGGGAGCAGGCGAUUUCGUAUCAGCUAGUUGGNGAGGUACGGCUCACCAAGGCGACGACGCGUAGCCGGACUGAGGAGGGUU
This 263-nucleotide ribosomal RNA is filed under the name uncultured bacterium. Its description in RNAcentral is "partial 16S ribosomal RNA". It matches the Rfam family "Bacterial small subunit ribosomal RNA", at positions 30 to 301 of the family's 1533-position model. The record is from RNAcentral.